GCCCGGUGCACAAAUUCGUGCACAGGUGGGUCCCUCAGCCUGGCUGGGAUUGGGCCGUUGUGGCUCUCUUGCCAUCCUGAUUGGGGCUGACUGGGACCGGCUGGUGGGAAGGGCCGCAGGAGGUUGGCUGGCCGGGUUGUGGGAGUGCACGGCCCAUCCAGUGGCAGCUCCUGCACUGAGUGUCAGUGUGCGUCAUAGUGACCGGUGGAUCCGUCACUCAGUUAUUCUGUUGUUCUGUUGCUUAGGCUUUUAUAUAUAUAGAUUCUGGCCCUGUUAUCUACUACUACUAUAGCUUAACAGUGGACUUGGCAUACAAAACAAAGUGUUCAGCAAGUUUAAAAAAGUUCCUUUGCAGUGAGUGUAAUGUUGUCCAUUUAAAAAAAUAAAAUCCUAGUUAUAUUUUAAAGCUUGCCUUAAAAAACAAUCAUAUUACUGUACAGUUAAAAACAAGGAAUACUUCCUGGUUUCUUUUUAAAAUAUAUAUUUUUUUAUUGAUUUGAGAGAGAGGAAGGGGGAGAGAAAAAAUAAUGAGAAUCUUCGAUUGGCUGGGGAUCAAGCCCACAACCCUGCCAUGUUCCCUGACCAAGAAUUGAACCCUGACAUACUGGUUCAUGGCUCCACAUUCAAGCAUUGAGCCACACAUCCUAAUUUCUUAAACCAAUGGUAGUAUAAGACUUGAAGCUAAUAGAUUGGGUCACUUUGCAAAUUAUUUUAAAAAUGUUGUUAAAUAAAAUACAUGCUAAGUCUUCCUGGUUAAGAAAUGAUAAAUUUAUUGCUAUUUGAGGGUUAGGGUGCCUAGGCUAUGAGGUUUACCAAAUGGCUAGACUAGUGAAUGACAUCUGUCCUAAUGUUUAUUGAUCCUAAUCAUCUUGGCAGCCACCAAAGGAAGGACUUGGCAUUGAUUCGAGAAGGGUAUCAGGAAGGAAAAUGCUGUUGACAAGGUCUUGCCUACUCUUACUGACACAACACUGAAUGCAGUCUACGCUAAUCAUAUUACAGCCACCAAAUACUACGUUUUUAAGAAGCCUGGACGUGACACUCAUUUAAGAGGCUGCACAAGUUGGGGAAAAUUUGACGAGUACUCAUCAAAGCUGGUAUUUAACAAGCUGUGCAGGCCACCUGUGUCCUUGGCUUCAGUUUACAAAUAUAUGUAACAUAUAAAACUAGGCAACUGGAUUAAAUAACUAAGGCUGCUUCUAGCUCUAGCAUACUAUGGUCACAUCUUACCCAGGGUGAGAGAAGCCUCUGUUGGCUGGU
Long non-coding RNA from Pipistrellus kuhlii (Kuhl's pipistrelle), 1257 nucleotides. RefSeq lists it as uncharacterized. The record is from RefSeq and is a predicted model, not a curated record. The transcript is spliced from 2 exons. Lineage: Eukaryota; Metazoa; Chordata; Mammalia; Chiroptera; Vespertilionidae.